GAUGAACGCUAGCGGCAGGCUUAAUACAUGCAAGUCGAACGGUAACAUGAGUAGCAAUACUUGAUGACGAGUGGCGCACGGGUGCGUAACGCGUAUGCAAUCUACCUUCAACUGGUGAAUAGCCCGAAGAAAUUCGGAUUAAUACACCAUAGUAUAUUAGAGUGGCAUCACUUUAAUAUUAAACUCCGGUGGUUGAAGAUGAGCAUGCGUGACAUUAGCUAGUUGGUGAGGUAAUGGCUCACCAAGGCUACGAUGUCUAGGGGAUCUGAGAGGACUUAA
Molecule: ribosomal RNA, 279 nt
Filed under: uncultured bacterium
Lineage: Bacteria
Description: partial 16S ribosomal RNA
Rfam family: Bacterial small subunit ribosomal RNA
Source: RNAcentral